UUGGACAAUGGGCGCAAGCCUGAUCCAGCCAUACCGCGUGUGUGAAGAAGGCCUUCGGGUUGUAAAGCACUUUAAGCAGGGAGAAAAAGUUAUAAGUUAAUACCCUAUAACCGUGAUGUUACCUGCAGAAUAAGCACCGGCUAAUUCCGUGCCAGCAGCCGCGGUAAUACGGAAGGUGCAAGCGUUAAUCGGAAUUACUGGGCGUAAAGCGCGCGUAGGUGGUUUGUUAAGUUGGAUGUGAAAGCCCUGGGCUCAACCUAGGAACUGCAUCCAAAACUAACUCACUAGAGUACGAUAGAGGGAGGUAGAAUUCAUAGUGUAGCGGUGGAAUGCGUAGAUAUUAUGAAGAAUACCAGUGGCGAAGGCGGCCUCCUGGAUCUGUACUGACACUGAGGUGCGAAAGCGUGGGUAGCGAACAGGAUUAGAUACCCUGGUAGUCCACGCCGUAAACGAUGACAACUAGCUGUUGGGAGACAAUGUCUCUCAGUGGCGCAGCUAACGUUUUAAGUUGUCCGCCUGGGGAGUACGGCCGCAAGGCUAAAACUCAAAUGAAUUGACGGGGACCCGCACAAGCGGUGGAGCAUGUGGUUUAAUUCGAUGCAACGCGAAAAACCUUACCUACUCUUGACAUACUUGGAAGCUCUUGUAAUGAGAGUGUGCCUUAUGGAACCAAGAUACAGGUGCUGCAUGGCUGUCGUCAGCUCGUGUCGUGAGAUGUUCCGUUAAGUCGGAUAACGAGCGCAACCCUUACCCUUAUUUGCCAGCGAUUCGGUCGGGAA
This 779-nucleotide ribosomal RNA is filed under the name uncultured Gammaproteobacteria bacterium. Its description in RNAcentral is "bacterial SSU rRNA". It matches the Rfam family "Bacterial small subunit ribosomal RNA", at positions 364 to 1137 of the family's 1533-position model. Lineage: Bacteria; Pseudomonadati; Pseudomonadota; Gammaproteobacteria. The record is from RNAcentral.